This 391-nucleotide long non-coding RNA is filed under the name Nicotiana benthamiana. RNAcentral describes it as "long non-coding RNA (NBEN_LNC006090)". The record is from RNAcentral. Lineage: Eukaryota; Viridiplantae; Streptophyta; Magnoliopsida; Solanales; Solanaceae.
UGUAGACGAACUUCAAAAAUGUCUAGUGAAGGACAAACAGUGAUAAGGAGGUAUAGCUAAGAGACAAAACGACAACCGGUGCUGAAAACAAAAAAUAUCCUGCAGUCUGGGGCAGAAUCGACAAACAGUGAUAAGGAGGUAUAGCUAAUAGACAAAACGACAACCGGUGCUGAAAACAAAAAAUAUCCUGCAGUCUGGGGCAGAAUUGAAUUUCCUCAUCCUAUUAACAACAACAACAACGACAUACUCAGCGUAAUCCCACAAGUGGAGUCUGGGGAGGGUAGUAUGUACGCAGACUUUACCCCUACCUUCAAGAAGGCAGAGAGGCUGUUUCCGGAAGACCCCAUUUCCUCAUCCUAUCAAGUAAAUAAAAAUUAUCAAUAAAGAAUUU